GGAGAGGUGGCCGAGCGGCUGAAGGCAGCAUCCUGCUAAGAUGUUAGGGGGGCAACUCCCUCGAGGGUUCGAAUCCCUCCCUCUCCG
Molecule: transfer RNA, 87 nt
Filed under: Candidatus Jacksonbacteria bacterium RIFCSPLOWO2_01_FULL_44_13
Lineage: Bacteria; Candidatus Jacksoniibacteriota
Also listed under: 2 other names
Description: tRNA-Ser
Rfam family: tRNA
About the family: Transfer RNA (tRNA) molecules are approximately 80 nucleotides in length. Their secondary structure includes four short double-helical elements and three loops (D, anti-codon, and T loops).
Source: RNAcentral